UACGUAGGGUGCGAGCGUUAAUCGGAAUUACUGGGCGUAAAGUGUGCGCAGGCGACUUCGCAAGUCGAGUGUGAAAUCCCCGAGCUUAACUUGGGAAUUGCGCUCGAAACUACGGAGCUGGAGUGUGGCAGAGGAAGGUGGAAUUCCACGUGUAGCGGUGAAAUGCGUAGAGAUGUGGAGGAACACCGAUGGCGAAGGCAGCCUUCUGGGCCAACACUGACGCUCAUGCACGAAAGCGUGGGGAGCAAACAGG
This 253-nucleotide ribosomal RNA is filed under the name uncultured bacterium. RNAcentral's name for it is "partial 16S ribosomal RNA". It matches the Rfam family "Bacterial small subunit ribosomal RNA", at positions 524 to 776 of the family's 1533-position model. The record is from RNAcentral.